RNAcentral lists this transfer RNA (72 nucleotides) under Prasinococcus sp. CCMP1194. RNAcentral describes it as "tRNA-Val". It matches the Rfam family "tRNA". Rfam says of the family: Transfer RNA (tRNA) molecules are approximately 80 nucleotides in length. Their secondary structure includes four short double-helical elements and three loops (D, anti-codon, and T loops). The record is from RNAcentral. Lineage: Eukaryota; Viridiplantae; Prasinodermophyta; Palmophyllophyceae; Prasinococcales; Prasinococcaceae.
GGGUGUGUAGCUCAAUGGUAGAGCACCUCGCUUACAACGAGAUUGUUAACGGUUCGAGUCCGUUCUCGCCCA